ACGCUCGACACCUACGGGAGGUAGCAGUGGGGAAUAUUGCACAAUGGGGGAAACCCUGAUGCAGCGACGCCGCGUGAGCGAAGAAGUAUUUCGGUAUGUAAAGCUCUAUCAGCAGGGAAGAAACUGACGGUACCUGACUAAGAAGCACCGGCUAAAUACGUGCCUAGCAGCCGACGGUAAUCUGAGGCGGCUGGCAAGGC
Molecule: ribosomal RNA, 200 nt
Filed under: uncultured bacterium
Lineage: Bacteria
Description: partial 16S ribosomal RNA
Rfam family: Bacterial small subunit ribosomal RNA
Source: RNAcentral